GCAGUCGCCGCCUGUCCCGAGACCCGGGAGUCUGUGCCGGGGUCCCCAGCUCCUAAGCCUGGGUCAGCGGCAGCGCUCCUGGACGAAGGCCUCAGGCUGGGCACUGGAGGAGGCGUGGGGGCGGGGGCGGGGAGACACGGUCCAGCGUCCCAAUCCAGCCGCGUCCACGGGAGAAGCAAGGGCAGUCCACGUUCCCUUGUCCCGUGCGACUUUUGUUUAAAAAUGAGGAAAGCUUUUUAUCAGCUUCUCGUGUUUCUGCUACUUAGUCUGGCAGGCUCUCACGAACGAAACUUUGUAAUUAAUGGUCGUUAAUUACACUCCAUCCCACAAACACUGAACUUAAUUACAGAUUUCCGGAAAGCCAGCAUAGCCUCUUGCAAGUGAGGUGUGUAAAGCUUAACUUAGUAAUCAAAGAAAGGAUUGGCAGGGCAAAGAAUUGGCAGUGAUCGUUUUGAAUCAAGUCAGAAUAAUCGAAGCCUUAUUCCCAGUUUGUUAGCUGCCCUUGUAUGAUUUAGAAAAACUGAUUUGUUGAUUUAGGAUGUUUGGAUAGACAUAAUUUCAGAGCUGGAAAAGGACUGCACACCGGUGAAAUAAGGCCCCUUGUGCUUGUUUGCCACUGCUGUGUUCCAUCAAGCCUUGACCAAACUGGACUGAGAGAGGGCCUUGAGGACAGGAGCCUUAACCUUUUUCUUAGUAUUCCUAUUUUCUAGCACCUUGCCAAGCAGAUAGUAAUGGAUCAAUAAAAUGUCGAAUCAGUGAAAUAGCAGACGAAAUCAGCAAAGUGCCCAGAGAAGUGACUCUUACGUAUUUCAAGUGUUUCAUGUGCUACAGAAUCUGUUGAACAAGAUAAAGGUUAAGUGCAUUGUGUGGACUUUAACAACUUACAAGGGAAGCCAGCUGCCAUGUUGUGAGGACACACAAGCUGCCUUAUGGAGAAACCUGCAUGGUCAGGUGAUAACUCCUGUGGGAAGAAUGUGGCACAGCACUGUGGUCGAUGAAUGUUGUUAUUACUUAAGAUGGAGGAAGGGCAGUUCCACAAAGAUAGAGAUGUAACCAGGCAUACGAAUACAACAUUUGGCUACUGCAGACUCGUAAGUAACAUGUCCUGUCCUCAAGGAGUUUUCCACAUAUAACUCUUGGUACUUAUGUAAGAGGAAAAUAAUUCCCACAUGUGCCCCGACUUUUUUGUUUCAAUAUUAAUCAGUUAUCCUGAUUAUGAAACUUGAAAAAUAUUACCCUAGCCCUUCUUACUGUUAAUUAAAUCUGUUUUUGUUAGUUUUAAACCAAGUAUGAAAAUUAUGUAAUCAUUGGCAUAAUAUUUUUGUGGUUAAAAUACAAUGUUGGCUUAAAACUUUUUGUAUUAUAAAUUAUACAUUUAUCUUCAGAUAUUGUGGGAACUAUGUCAGCUAACAAGCCAUUUCCUCAGUUAACCCUACUUCUGUGGUUGGGAUGAUUUGAAAACUGUAAACCUUGCUACACCUUGGUUGGUACUGUAUUUGGAGACAAUGUAUUUUAGCCUUGACAACAAAACUUACCAUUAUUUUUAGAGAAAUUUCAUUUGCUAGAAAGCAUCAUUUGUAUUAUUUUAUACUCAUGCUGCCUGGUGUAUGGAGUGAAAUUAAAUGCCUCAUGUUUCCAUUACAUAUUUUUACUAAAUGUGUCUCACAUGCAAUAGAGUGAAAUACAGGUUUUAUUGCAUUAAGCUGCCAAGAUCUCUGUGUUAAUUUGAUACUAUAAUACCGCCUAGUCAAUCCUGAGGAAUACGGAUACAUUAAAUUACAUGUAGGCAUAAUUUAUAAACAAAAAGGAUUCUCACGGUAAUUAUGAAAUGUUAUAUAUUUUCUCUUACUACAACAUAUAUAAUUUCUAUUCUAGACAAAAACAUACAUAUAUUUGUGUGAUACCUACAAAUAACAGUUGAUUUCACCUUUUUCCCAAGAAAAAGGGAAAACAAUCCUUAUUUAAUGAGUAUCAGAGUUCAAAAUAUUUCUUUGGUGAGUUCAGGCCCAGAAGAGUCAGAAGGGAUCUACUAUGCCAACUCUCGCAGCGGAACCCUUCAAAUGGCACACCAACUGAAUUUACAUAUAUAAGACUAAGAAAAAGCAGGACCCAGACGCUGCCAAAGGACCACCGUCAAGUACACCUGAAAACUACAGCUUUCAACACUUCACACCACCUUUGUUUUAUGAUACACCUAUUAUGCUGUAGCUAUGAUGAGAGCAUACAAAUAAAUAAAAGACUCAGUCAUUUC
Cercocebus atys (sooty mangabey) is the source of this 2251-nucleotide long non-coding RNA. RefSeq lists it as uncharacterized. Lineage: Eukaryota; Metazoa; Chordata; Mammalia; Primates; Cercopithecidae. The transcript is spliced from 4 exons. The record is from RefSeq and is a predicted model, not a curated record.